CAAUAGAAGUAGAACGACCGGAGAUAGUCGUCUUCUCCAAUUCCGGCAACCACGGCCGCCGCCAUUGUCCGAAUGAUUCCGACGCCGUCCGGCCCUUCCUUUCCUCGAUUUCUUCACCAAUAUCCCCCUGGAGCACCUAUGAAUCCAUCCCCGUGCUCAAUUCUGCUCUGGAGCCACCGUGGGCGAAAGCCCCAAUUCGUCUCUGCCGGAGUUCUUCGGUUGAGCUCGUCGUCGGCAAACUCCGCCCACCCCUAUGACCAUGGCAAGCACCGAAAGGAUCGCCACGACGCCCCAAGCACACCAGUGUGCUCAGAACUCCGAGGGGAGCCGUCGUUCGCCAGCGAGGACCGCCGGAGCAGCCCCUCAGUUUUGUCGGAGAGGAAGGCGCGCGCGCGAACCAGUCAAACUUGACUAGUGGGCCAGGCGGGCCAACUGUCAGUGACUCAGCGUUGUGCCAGCUCAUUUUAAGUGAAAGAGUAUUCUGUGAAGUACGUCUUCCUACUCUGAAAAUGCAUUUCUAGCCGAACCAUUUUCUUUUCUGUUUUUAUUUAAAUUCAUAUUCGACCCUAACUUUGACUGCCUCUAUUUUUUAAACCACAACCCCAAUUGACUUGAUUCUUUUUCUAUUACUUCUAAAAUUUCAUCUAGUUUAUUUUAGUAUUUAUUUAAAAAAAUUCCAAACAACUUUUUAGCAUUGUUAUGGCUUUAUAUGGUAAUUGAAAUAUUUUGAAAAUAGGAAAUGGAGGGAAGAUAAGAUUUUCAAACAUUUGGAAUGCACCCAACACUUCUGCAUGCUCAAGGCAAGCAUUUUGAACACAUGAUAUGGUGACUGCAUAAUUAUUUCUGGCAUGCGUAUUUGAAUUAUGAAUAUGUUGAAUUCCUAUAGAGUUUGCAUAUUGUUGCUCAUACAUGCAUGAUCCCCUUAAUGAUAUUUUAUCUUCGCUUAAACAUGAAGUAUAAGCGAGUAUGAUUAUUUUCAUGUGCCACAUAUGCCCAUGUUGGUCAAGGCUAAAUUGCAGGAAGAAUCGGUCACGAGAAAAGUGACCGUGAGACUGAAAUCUCGUUGUGACGAGAAUGAUACAGUGAGAGUAUGUUGGGACAUACCAGGUGGUGACCCUAUUGGGUACUUCCAAGAGAAUAUAUUGUGGUAACCACUAUAGGGAAACUUCAACCUCCUGAGUUGACCAUAGAUCGAGUCUUAUUCCGGUACCCCCCAUACUGGUUUCGUGCUAGCACUUGUCCCUGCCACAAGUAGGGUAUUGUUCAGUAAGUUGUUAACCCCUUUCCCCGCACACAUCGUACAGAGAGACCACAAUGAAGGUUUACAGGUACCGGUUGCAAUGCCAGUCAACAUGUCAGGGGGCAUGGGUGUAUCCGGUUGGGUUGAGAGGGGGCACCCCUUAUAAUCCACGCGUGUUAAUAGUGAUCCCAUGCUACUCGAGACGAUGGUCUCCCCGCCUUAGAGUUUUUCUUGAACGAUGAUUUCGGUGAUUCCUGGCAUCUGGAAAGUUAAUAUGGUGUGUGCUGGUCAGGUGUGUUUUCAACCCAAAAGCCAUAACGGGAAUUAGUCAGCGUCUCGGUGUUGGCUAAAGAAAUCCUAUACACGUGGAUAAAGAGUACACCCUCUGUAGAGUUAUACCUAUUCGAAUAGCCGUGUCCAUGGUUAAGGACUACAGUCUGGGUUGGUCAAGUGUCGGUCUUAGUGUCAGUCUCCGGAGGAAAUAAUUAAAGUGAUCAUGGAUCCUUUUGCAGGAUAAUGAUUGUCACUACUGGGGCUAUUAUGAAUAUUGUUGUUGAUAUGAAUAAUAUUGUGGACUAACCUUUUCCUCUUAUGUUUAACCUCGAGUAUCCCUUGGGAUGGAUAGACUACACGAGAUACUCAAGUUUAUUUUCAUUUCUGAGUAUCACUUGGGAUGGCUAGUCCACCUGGAUACUCGUGUUAUUAUUUUUCAUAUAAGCCCUUUAUGAGGCGUCGCUUCGGACACCUGACUGUGCCAUGUAUUCUCAAGACCUCUCGAGGCGUCGCUAUUAGACAACCGCCAGGCAGUUAUUUUCAAGACCUCUCGAGGCGUCGCUUCCAGACACACGAUCAUGAUUCAGAGAGGAGUACUGUGAAGACACCCCACAACCUAGGAUCACAUUACGUGAAUCACAGGCACCGACGGGCCACAUUACGUGACCCUAAUUUCUCUGAAGAGGCGUUCAACGCCUUCAACUCAGGGGACGCGUACAUCCGAGCUGCUCAAGAUGGCCUUGCCAGAGCUAUGGACCAGUAUGUAAAGUACAUACAGGUUCUUAAAGAGAAGAAUACCCAGCUAUCUAAAGAGCUGGAAGAGUGCAAAGCCCAACUGCGGGCCGCAGUUGCAGGAAUGAAGGAGCCCUAGAAGGCCUCGUCUGACAAUCCCGGAAGUAAUCCGGAGAUCGUAUCGGAGGAUGACCCUCAUGCUCAACGACAGCUGAAAGCUGGCGAGUGUGUGCUUACAAAAGGUAUACGGGAGAAGAAUGAUCUCCAGGACGCGAAGACCAGGCUAGACGUUGAAUUAAAGGAUGUCCGGGGCCAACUUGCUGACUCCGUGAAGGAAAAUAAGUGGCUUCAACGCGGCAUUUUUAGUAUGCUGACAGGUCAUCCCGGAGAGGAGAUGCCCGGAUCUGCAGGCGAUCUUCUCCAAGAACUCUCACAACUGCACGAGCAAGUUCAGCAGGUGAUGCAAGGUAUUGCCCAUGCCUUGUGGCCUUCCGCAUCCCUGCCAGGAGGCAUGUGAGAGCUUGUGGAGAUGCUCAAGGGAGCACGGCGGCGCUUCCGAUUAUGGAAGGUGUCGGCCUGCCGACAAGGUGCAAGGGAAGCCUGGGCCAUGGUGAAGACACGAUACACAAAGGCUGACCCGAACCAUAUGGCCGAGGUCGGACCUGCAGGGCCAGAUGGGGCAGAGAUUCCCGUUAGUCUGGUAUAUGACCAGGUUUC
Molecule: long non-coding RNA, 2962 nt
Organism: Triticum aestivum (bread wheat)
Lineage: Eukaryota; Viridiplantae; Streptophyta; Magnoliopsida; Poales; Poaceae
Exons: 5
Source: RefSeq, a predicted model, not a curated record